Molecule: ribosomal RNA, 375 nt
Filed under: uncultured organism
Description: partial 16S ribosomal RNA
Rfam family: Bacterial small subunit ribosomal RNA
Source: RNAcentral
GGAGGUGGCAAGCGUUGUUCGGAAUUACUGGGCGUAAAGGGCGCGCAGGCGGUUCGUCAAGUCCCGUGUGAAAUCCCCCGGCUCAACUGGGGAACUGCGCGGGAAACUAGCGGACUUGAGUUCGGGAGAGGAAAGCGGAAUUCCGGGUGUAGCGGUGAAAUGCGCAGAUAUCCGGAGGAACACCAGUGGCGAAGGCGGCUUUCUGGACCGACACUGACGCUGAGGCGCGAAAGCUAGGGGAGCGAACGGGAUUAGAUACCCCGGGUAGUCCUAGCCCUAAACGAUGAGCACUGGGUGUAGGGGGUAUGAACCCCCCCCCCUGUGCCGAAGCUAACGCAUUAAGUGCUCCGCCUGGGGAGUACGGCCGCAAGGCUG